AGUGAACGCUGGCGGUAGGCCUGACACAUGCAAGUCGAACGGCAGCACAGUAAGAGCUUGCCCUUACGGGUGGCGAGUGGCGGACGGGUGAGGAAUACAUCGGAAUCUACUUUUUCGUGGGGGAUAACGUAGGGAAACUUACGCUAAUACCGCAUACGACCUACGGGUGAAAGCAGGGGAUCUUCGGACCUUGCGCGAUUGAAUGAGCCGAUGUCGGAUUAGCUAGUUGGCGGGGUAAAGGCCCACCAAGGCGACGAUCCGUAGCUGGUCUGAGAGGAUGAUCAGCCACACUGGAACUGAGACACGGUCCAGACUCCUACGGGAGGCAGCAGUGGGGAAUAUUGGACAAUGGGCGCAAGCCUGAUCCAGCCAUACCGCGUGGGUGAAGAAGGCCUUCGGGUUGUAAAGCCCUUUUGUUGGGAAAGAAAAGCAGCAGGUUAAUACCCCGCUGUUCUGACGGUACCCAAAGAAUAAGCACCGGCUAACUUCGUG
RNAcentral lists this ribosomal RNA (492 nucleotides) under uncultured bacterium. RNAcentral's name for it is "partial 16S ribosomal RNA". It matches the Rfam family "Bacterial small subunit ribosomal RNA", at positions 29 to 507 of the family's 1533-position model. The record is from RNAcentral.